This 322-nucleotide ribosomal RNA is filed under the name uncultured eukaryote. RNAcentral's name for it is "partial 18S ribosomal RNA". It matches the Rfam family "Eukaryotic small subunit ribosomal RNA", at positions 1470 to 1796 of the family's 1831-position model. The record is from RNAcentral.
CCCUUAGAUGUCCUGGGCCGCACGCGCGCUACACUGACAUGUUCAACAAGUUUCUCCUAGUUCGACAGGACUGGGAAAUCUUUGAACGCAUGUCGUGAUAGGGAUAGAUCAUUGCAAUUAUUGAUCUUGAACGAGGAAUUCCUAGUAAACGCGAGUCAUCAGCUCGCAUUGAUUACGUCCCUGCCCUUUGUACGCACCGCCCGUCGCACCUACCGAUUGAAUGUUUCGGUGAAGAUUCCGGAUAGGACUGAUUUGAUUUAUUUCAUUUCUGACCUAAAAGCUAUCUAAACCUCAACAUUUAGAGGAAGGUGAAGUCGUAACA